Molecule: ribosomal RNA, 205 nt
Filed under: Aulacoseira subarctica
Lineage: Eukaryota; Bacillariophyta; Melosirophyceae; Melosirales; Aulacoseiraceae
Description: partial Bacterial large subunit ribosomal RNA
Rfam family: Bacterial large subunit ribosomal RNA
Source: RNAcentral
GAGCGAACGCGGACCAGGCCAGUGAUACAUCAAAGACAAUCGGAACCAGUCAGGAAAGCUGGGCCUCAGAGGGUGAUAGCCCCGUACGAGUAAUGCGAUGAUGUAUCCACGAGUAAGGCGGGACACGUGUAAUCCUGUCUGAACACGGGGGGACCACCCUCCAAGCCUAAGUACUCCUCAGCGACCGAUAGUGAACCAGUACCGU